RNAcentral lists this transfer RNA (66 nucleotides) under Scolitantides orion jezoensis. Its description in RNAcentral is "tRNA-Val". The record is from RNAcentral. Lineage: Eukaryota; Metazoa; Arthropoda; Insecta; Lepidoptera; Lycaenidae.
UAGAUUGUAUCUUAAUAAAAGUAUUUCAUUUACAUUGAAAAGAUAUUAAUUUUUUAAUUAAUCUAA